CUGAGCCGCUCUCAGAUCAGCUCUGCAGACCGUCGUCGGGAAUGGUGCGUCUGCCAUCUGCCGGACACCGAGGGUAAAACAUGCACCAGUGCUGUGGACAGCGUGCAGUACACUGAUAUCAGACAGCAAUGGGGAUGUUUGUUGUGCUUCUUACAACUGCAUUGUGACGGUCUGAUGUGGUUACUACGAAUACCUGCUUUAAGGGAAGCCAACCUAAGAGGAAUUUGUGUGAUUUCAAGAGAUCAUUGGCUGAAUGUGAGGAGAUGGAGGCUACAGUUAGGUCGGGGGAAGCUCUCCUCCACUGUUCCCCUACAGUCAGGAGGUACCAGACCAACAGUGUGAAGUCAUGCAUGAGCCCCGCUGGACUGAUCAUCUGUUAUUGCACAGCCAUCUGGGUGAGACCCCAGGCCUGUUUAGAUCUUCAAGCAACAGGAAUGACAUCAAUAUAAAACUCAGAAGAGUCAAACAAAACCUGUCUUAUUCGUUGCUUGAUCCAUCUGCCAUCACCUGAAAAACAAACUCUUCUGCACUGAUACCUUCUAUAAACUUGAAGUUAACAGUAACACCUCAUGAAAGUGAGCCUCAUGUUCCCUCUAUUUCACUGCUGAGGCAGGUAUUAGCCAAUAAUAAUACAGCAUGUGGUGCAGUUUAAUACAAAAUAAAACCAAGUCUCCUUUUAUCACACAUCAGCUAAGUGCCACAUAGUCAAAAGAUCCGAUCUCAAAUCUGGCCUAUCUAGCCAUUGGCUUACGCAGCUAAUUAACUUCACACACCAAAAUUUGAAUUUAAAUUAACGAUUGCAAGAUAUCAUCAGGGGACACAAACCACCCCACGAAGAAGUUUAUGAUGAAAAAAAGAUGAGUAUUAGAGAAGGCAAUCGGUGAAGUAAGGAGGGCUUUUAGAUGAGGGGAUAUCUCCAAUUACAAUCCACCGUACACUUGUCAGCAGUAAUGAAAUGUUUGCUGAGAGGUUGCUAUUUGUGGCUGCUAGAUUGGAUGAUGCUGCUCCACUGCCCCCACUAACAAUUAUAUUCCAUGCAUAAAUUUCCCUAGCAUCUCUUGUAUUGUGAACUGUUGGCCAGAUAUACCUACAACUGUCCAAGAAGCCACAGAAUAAUGAAACAUUAUCGUGCGCGUACAGUAGACAUGAUAUUCAACUCCUGCGGAGAAAAUGCAUAAUGUAUCUCAAGAGGCACAGAGCAAGAAGAAUAAAAGGAAAAAAAAGGAAAAACUUCUGCUUCUUUUAUUGUUUUUAAAGAAUUACAUAAUGCAUUAAUCACAGUAAAGACAAACCGGCUUUCCCCGCAUGUCAUAAUUGUGCAAGCUUACAAUUAAAUGUAAAAUUAGAUGUAAGAUGUAAAACUUCUGUUUUUUUUUUUCCUCUGCUCAGCCUUUCAAC
Seriola aureovittata is the source of this 1398-nucleotide long non-coding RNA. RefSeq lists it as uncharacterized. NCBI's taxonomy places the organism in Eukaryota, Metazoa, Chordata, Actinopteri, Carangiformes, Carangidae. The record is from RefSeq and is a predicted model, not a curated record. The transcript is spliced from 2 exons.